AGUCCUUUUACAGACACUGACACAGGCAGCAUUAUGAUGAUGUCAAAUGUGUUACUGCUGGUGAUACUGGCAAUCUUUGCUCAGGAAUCAAUGGCAGAUAUAGUCCUGACUCAGUCUCCGUCAACUCAGUCUGUUCAGCUGGGAGACACUGUUUCUAUCAGCUGUACAGUCAGUCAGAGCGUUUACACUGAUAGCGAUGGCAACUGGCUCUACUGGUACCUGCAGAAACCUGGUCAGGCUCCUAAACUUCUGAUUUAUUAUGCCACAAGACGCCAGUCUGGGAUUCCUGAUCGAUUCAGUGGGAGUGGAUCUGGGACUCAGUUUACACUGAAAAUCACUGGAGUCCAUGCUGAAGACGCAGGAGAUUAUUACUGCAAAAGUAUACAUCAGAUUGGUGGUAGCUGGCCGUUCGCACAGUGAUACAGA
Molecule: non-coding RNA, 426 nt
Organism: Anguilla anguilla (European eel)
Lineage: Eukaryota; Metazoa; Chordata; Actinopteri; Anguilliformes; Anguillidae
Source: the annotation of a RefSeq genome assembly